AACUUUUAACAAUGGAUCUCUUGGUUCUCGCAUCGAUGAAGAACGUAGCAAAGUGCGAUAACUAGUGUGAAUUGCAUAUUCAGUGAAUCAUCGAGUCUUUGAACGCAUCUUGCACUCAAUGGUAUUCCAUUGAGUACGCCUGUUUCAGUA
RNAcentral lists this ribosomal RNA (150 nucleotides) under Mucor indicus. RNAcentral describes it as "5.8S ribosomal RNA". It matches the Rfam family "5.8S ribosomal RNA". From Rfam's summary of the family: 5.8S ribosomal RNA (5.8S rRNA) is a component of the large subunit of the eukaryotic ribosome. It is transcribed by RNA polymerase I as part of the 45S precursor that also contains 18S and 28S rRNA. Lineage: Eukaryota; Fungi; Mucoromycota; Mucoromycetes; Mucorales; Mucoraceae. The record is from RNAcentral.